UUGACCUCGGAUCAGGUAGGAGUUACCCGCGGAACUUAAGCAU
RNAcentral lists this ribosomal RNA (43 nucleotides) under Talaromyces pinophilus. RNAcentral's name for it is "partial 28S ribosomal RNA". The record is from RNAcentral. Lineage: Eukaryota; Fungi; Ascomycota; Eurotiomycetes; Eurotiales; Trichocomaceae.